Molecule: ribosomal RNA, 433 nt
Filed under: uncultured bacterium
Lineage: Bacteria
Description: partial 16S ribosomal RNA
Rfam family: Bacterial small subunit ribosomal RNA
Source: RNAcentral
AGCGAACGCUGGCGGCAGGCCUAACACAUGCAAGUCGAACGAACUCUUCGGAGUUAGUGGCGGACGGGUGAGUAACACGUGGGAACGUGCCUUUAGGUUCGGAAUAACUCAGGGAAACUUGUGCUAAUACCGAAUGUGCCCUUCGGGGGAAAGAUUUAUCGCCUUUAGAGCGGCCCGCGUCUGAUUAGCUAGUUGGUGAGGUAAAGGCUCACCAAGGCGACGAUCAGUAGCUGGUCUGAGAGGAUGAUCAGCCACAUUGGGACUGAGACACGGCCCAAACCUCCUCCGGAGGCCGGCGUGGGGGAUCUUGGCGCAUUGGGCGAAGGCUUACCGCGGCCUGGCGGGUGAAAUAUUAAGGUCUUAGGGUUGUUAAAUUCUUUCACCGGGGACGAUAAUGACGGUACCCGGAGAAGAAGCCCCGGCUAACUUCGUG